GGGGAUGUAUUUGGUUUCGACAAUCCUCUAGAAGUAAGAAUAGCGAGUAGUGGAUUCUCGUUGGCCACUUAAAAAACGAGAAAAUAAAAAUAAACGCUGAUAAUAGAGAAUUAGCAUACGCUGCCUAAGUUUGGUGGCACAUCUUGCUUAGAACUUCCUACGGUUUUGAGAUAAGGUGUUUAAAAACAAGUAGGAUAACAAAACUAUUUUUUCCUUGAAAAUAGUGGGUAACCAAAAGGAUACUUUUUUCUUUUUCUUGUUUGUUGUAGAAAGGGAAAAGGAAAUAAAACAACAAACUGCACUCGGAGAAGUUCUUAUGGAAAGGGGCUUGGACAGGAGUUCGACUCUCCUCAUCUCCACCA
This 362-nucleotide transfer-messenger RNA is filed under the name chicken gut metagenome. It matches the Rfam family "transfer-messenger RNA". From Rfam's summary of the family: Bacterial tmRNA, also known as 10Sa RNA or SsrA, is named for its dual tRNA and mRNA-like properties. Its role is to liberate the mRNA from a stalled ribosome. The record is from RNAcentral.